UCCCUUGUGGCUCAGACAGUAAAGAACCUGCUUGCAAUGCAGGAGACCUGGGUUCAAUUCCUGGGGCGGGAA
Molecule: transfer RNA, 72 nt
Filed under: Ovis aries (sheep)
Lineage: Eukaryota; Metazoa; Chordata; Mammalia; Artiodactyla; Bovidae
Rfam family: tRNA
About the family: Transfer RNA (tRNA) molecules are approximately 80 nucleotides in length. Their secondary structure includes four short double-helical elements and three loops (D, anti-codon, and T loops).
Source: Rfam by way of RNAcentral